Molecule: long non-coding RNA, 4677 nt
Filed under: Sus scrofa (pig)
Lineage: Eukaryota; Metazoa; Chordata; Mammalia; Artiodactyla; Suidae
Description: lncRNA (ENSSSCG00030038208.1)
Source: RNAcentral
UUUUUUUUUUUUUUGACUGCUCCAUAACAUAUGGAGUUCUCCAGCCAGGGAUGCAAUCUGAACUGCAGCUGCAGCAACGUCAGAUCAUUUAACACACUGCUGUGGGACAGGGAUCAAACUUGCUUCCUGGAUCAACUGAGAUGAUGGUGAUCCCAUUGUGCCACAGCAGGAACUCUAAAUAUUUUCUUUGUACUAAUUUUAUUUUAAGUGGUAUAAGAAUUAAACUUCAAAUUCAUUUUAGUUAUCCAUAGACUAUCAAUGGUAUUUUAUAAGCAAAAGAAUUGCUUAUAGAAUGUAUAAGCAAAAGAUGACAGUAGAAAUUUCAAAUUGAGACUAUCUUACAACUAUUAAAAUAACAUUAAUAAAAAUAAACAUUCAUACAUAUCUAAUUGUAAUAUCAUAUCAGGUAAAAAAAAGAAGCUAAAAUGAAAUCGUUUGACAAUUACACACUAGAUAAAAUUUUAACCAAGAAUUCAUAAAGAUCUAGAUCCAAUACCUAGAUUAAAUGAAACAGAAAUUUGUUAUAUUUAAAUAAAAUUAUGGAUCGGUUAAGUUUUACCUAAGAUUCCAAAGUAUGAAGUAUUACUAUAAAAGAUGACAUUUCUAGGAUGUAUUACUAAAGAUACCCAUGGUUAAGAGUACGGUUACUGGAUCUAUAGGGGUCGUAUUCCACCAUAGGCCUUAUUAGGCCAGUGACCUUGAAAAAUGUAUAUUACUUCCUGGUACCUCAAUCUUUAAAUCUUGAAAAGAGAUAUUCAUAGCACUACCUCAUAGAAUUUUAUGAAGAUUUAAUUUAUUAAAUGUAAAGCAUAUUGUAAAUGCUCUCUACUACUACUCAACUGUGGCAAUAUAAAAUCAAAGAUAAUUGCAAAUCAAAAAGAUAUUUCUAGCAUUUAUUGAAAAAGGAAGUUCUACAGAUUUUUUUUACUUUUUAAAAUGAAAUAACUUGCACAAAUAUUUGGAUGCUAAUUUCUGUCAUUGAAGAUAAGCACUUGUAUGAUUUAGAGAAAAGAAGUUAAUAUAGGUGAUAAUCACAGAUUAUUUAGUUUUAUUAUUAACCUUAAACAUUUUGGGGAAAUUAUUUGUUAGAAUUCACUAUUUUUCCAUUUUUUGUAAUGCCUAGUUAUGACAAAAGAAAGCUUGAAAAUUUUGGGUCUCACUACAUAAUUUCAAAAAACACAAAAUUUGCACAAACUAUAACAAUCUGAAUCCUUGCAUAAGUGGAUGAACACAGUGCAUUUCUUCCUUAUUGUUAUUAUUUUUUGUUGUAGCUAUCAGCAUUGUCUGCUUCCUUUCCAACUUUGGUAUACCAUUGAAGGUUAAUCUUCAAAUUUUAUCCUCUCUAAGAAACUUUUCCAGGAACAUAGCAAACUAAAUUAUCCAUCUCCUCAGUCUUUGACCUUAUAAUUCCAGCUUUCCAUAAGCAUAGUGAUUCUACAAUUGAAUAAUAUUUAUACUUAGCCUAGAUCUCAAACAUCUAUCUUAUAAAACACUCAUGUAACGUCUAAAAGUUAGUGGACAAAUGUCAACGUGACAGAAGACAUGUAACAAGAUUGGAAUUUAUUUUUUCAGAUGAAGGAGCUAAAGAAUGUUUUAAACCAAACAUGCACUUCUUUCAACAUUCAUAUUUUAUCCUUUUGUACCUUGCUCCUUGAGCCUCUUUUCUCUUUUCCUAUUACACAUCUUAGUCCUCUGCUUCUGGAAAAUACUUCACUUAUUAUUAACAAAAUUAAUGAAAUAUUUAAUUUUACAAAAUAAUAAUUCUAUUUGCUAGGGGAGAAAUAGUUUAGUCUCUCUUUAACUUUUUAAUAUGGAAAGCUAAAUAUCUGACAUCCCAAAUGCCUGGCAACUAUAUUCAAUUAUGUGAUUAAAUAAUUAUCAAGUCUAGUAUGUACCAGGACAUUUAAUGUAGCAAGAACUGGAGAAGACAUCCCUGUUUUAAAGAACCAAUUGUCCUCUCACUUCAUUCUUAUUCUUCCUUUUGUCUUGCUUUUGUUAUUUCUUUUUUUAAAGAUUUUUAUUUUUUCUAUUAUAUUUGAUUUAUGAUGUUCUGUCAAUUUUUUGCUGUACAGUAAAGUGACCCAAUCAUACAUAUUGGUUAUUCUUUUUCUGAAUCUAUCACUUUUGAUGGAACAUUAUGAAGAAUAAUGUGAGGAAAAGAAUAUAUUUUGCUAUUUAAAUUCAGCCAUUCAUUUAAUCAUUAUUUACCAGGCAUUAUGUUAGAUACUAGAUAUACAAGGGUAACCUAGAAAGAUAAAACCCAUGCUAGAUUUUCACAGUAGUGCAGUGUUGUUAUAAACAGAGAAUUAAAUUGGAAAUCAAGAUAACAUUAUCUUAGACAUUGUGUGUAUUUUUUUAUAUUUAAUAGAUCAGCCCCAUAUUAUAGUUCUUUUAUCUAUAAAAUAAAAAGGAGUCAUUAAUUUAUUCAUUUAAUGAACAUUUACUGUGUUCAGGUCUAUUAUGUUCCAUAUACAAAAGUAAAAGACCUAAAUACAUAAACCUUGUUCUUGGAGGGCUUACAAUCUGUGAAGAGUGGGGAUAAACAUACAAGGUAAAUGUUGUAAUAAAUAUAUGCAUAAAAGAUACAGAAGCAAAUGGGGAAGGUGGUCAGGGACUUCAGGUGUCAGCAAAGUUUUGCUGAUGCAGACAACACUGGAGUUUAUUAUGAAGACAAAGUCUAUGUCUUUUGAAGGAAUAAGAAAAUUAAAUGCAGAGCAAUUCAGAUAAGCAAGAUACACAAGCCAACAUACUGGAAACUACCAUCCAGGAUGGUAGGACAUGAGGAUUUAAGGUGCUGGAGUUCAUGUCAUGGCUCAGUGGUUAACGAAUCUGACUAGGGACCAGGAGGUUGUGGGUUUGAUCCCUGGCCUUGCUCAUGAGUAUACAUAUAUACACACAUUCUUUUUCAGAUUCUUUUCCUUUAUAGGUUAUUACAAGAUAUAGUUCCCAAUAGGUCCAUGUUGUUUAUCUAUUUUAUAUAUAGUAGUUUGUAUCUGUCACUCCCAUAUAUUCUUUAUCUAUUCAUAUGUCUGUGGACAUUUAGGCUGCUUAUAACUAAUUAUUUUUGUAAAUCAAUAAAGAACUUUUUCUAUUGUAAUAGGAUUAAAUAAAUCAGCACAUUCAGAUUUAUUUUAUUUUGAUGGUUAAAAUUAAAACAAUUAUAUGUUAAACUUGUUUUUGGUUCUUCUGGUAAUAUUAAAUUUAAGAUUUUUCAUUUUGUAGUACAUUAUUACCUACACAUGUAUAUUAUCAUGUGGGCCUGUAUAUAUAUGUGUGUGUGUGUGUGUGUGUACUUGAUGAAAUAUUAAGCAUAAUGUUUAAUCUUGAACUGUAAAUGUGUAACCCUACUGGAAAAUACUAUAUAUAUAUAUAAAACAUAUAUAUAUAUAUGUUUUAAUUUUUAUGUAUUUAUUUUUUACAUCCUGGUGUUUGAUAAUAUGCUUGUGCUGUUGGCUGCAAAAUAUAUGCAGACUACUGUACUAAAUGUACUUAAUAUGGCAUAUGCAUGGAAGUUCCCAGGCUAAGGGCCAAAUAGGAGAUGCAGCUGCCAGCAUAUGCCACGGCUACAGCAACUCAGGAUCCCAGCUGCAUCUGCGACCUACACCACAGCUUGUAGCCAUGCUGAAUCCUAAUGAGCGAGGCCAGGGAUCAAAUUCACAUCUUCAUGGACACUAUCUCAGGUUAUUAACCCACUGAGCCAUAAUGGGAACUCCUACAUUUAUAUCUAUGUUCAUUUACAAAAUAUUAUCAAUUUUCAUUUUUAAUACCCUAUUAUCUAAUAUACUUAUUUAGCUCAGUUCCUCCUUCCACUAAUCUUCAGCACUUUUGGAAAUGGAUAGUCCCUCUGCUAGAGGCUGGAUAGGAGAAGAAAAUGGGAAAGCCCCAACAGGUUACACAUAUAUUCGGGUAGGUUCAUUGCAGUUUUUUUUUUUUUUUUUACUUUUGCUCUAUAGUUAUGUUGUUAUUAUUUAUAUCUUUACUAUCUCUUCUUACAUGCUAUAUAUCAUAUCUGUUUAAAAGCCAUGAUUCCAAAGGAAGGGUUUAGGUAUCUUCUUUCUCCUUCAUUCCACAGAGAUACUGAUUGGUUCCUAGCUUGGUGUAAUUCUGUCUUGAUUUUGUGACUAGUGUUAGUGUGAGUCUAAAAGUAAUGUAUCAGAAUCCUGCAUUGGAAAGUAAGGGAGUUUGAUAAUAUGCUUGUGAUUUUGGCUGCAAAAUAUAAGCAGACUGCUGUAUUUAAUGAAAACUUCAACCUUCAUCUGGCCUCUGCACACAUUGACUAGGUUCUAUUGAGAUAGUCCAGAUGUGACAGAUACAUGAAUCCCACUGAGCUGAUCUUUAUCCUGGAGGAAAUCCCAGAAUAUUCUGGCCAGAGAAGGUGAAAGAAAGCACUUAGAGUUACAUCAUAUACAAUGUUAAGUCCAGAAGCAAUAAUGAAUAGCUUGCUUUGUUUAUUUUUAUGUGAGAAUUUUAGGACAACACCCAUUGUGAAAUGCCAUAAGGCAUGUGUAUCAUUAAAAAUAAACAAAAUGUUAAAAACUAAAAGUCAUUUUAAUUAGCAUAUCAAUAAAUAAAAUCUCAAAAGAACAGAUGUCCCCUGCUUUGUGCCCAGAAGUUUGAUGAACUGGAGCUCAGUCAGGUCAAGGAAAAAAAAAGAAAGUAAGAAAAGAAAAAGAAAGU